Long non-coding RNA from Labrus mixtus (cuckoo wrasse), 1329 nucleotides. RefSeq lists it as uncharacterized. The record is from RefSeq and is a predicted model, not a curated record. Lineage: Eukaryota; Metazoa; Chordata; Actinopteri; Labriformes; Labridae. The transcript is spliced from 2 exons.
CUUUGGCACAAAUGACUCCAGUGGGGCAGCAGUUUUGGGAAGGGGCACAGACACUCCUAUCCCAUAAGCUUCACAGGAUGAACAAGUUGCAGAGAGGACAGAUGCCCCCCAGUGGCUGAUGGCACAUCACCCUGCAGAGAGGGAAUUAUCUGGGAUUGAGGCAGAGAGAGGACACAGAUCAGAGGAAGCGGGAUUGGGAGAGCAACAGAGAGGGAAGAAUAAUGCCGGCAAGAGGUAAAAAAAAAAAAAAGGAGCGAGGAAGAAGAAGAAGAGGAAGAGGAAAAGAUAAGAAGAGAGGGGGGGGGAAGAGACUAAUGGGAUAUAAAAAUCUGACAGAGAAAAAAGUACAAUAAGACAAGAGGAAGGAUGUGUCUAAGGAAGAGAUAAGAAGACAAAGGGAGAGGAAAUAGUGGGAAUUCUUUAAAUAACCCAGAAGCGAAUAUGAUAUUUCGAGCUCAGGCCAUGUACAGACGCACUCAGUCUCCUCUGCAACAGAAGGAGAACAUGCCCAAAGCAAAGUCUUGAAAUAAAGCACUCCACUGAGGAUAGAGCUAAUGCACUGUACGUGCUGAUCUUUUCCACAGUGUUUCACAUCCAAAGCCAUUCAGACCUUCAGACGAGUCCCCCCACCCCAAACCCCCCCCCCCCGUGGGCCUGAUGCUGCCGGCGGACAGCAGAGGGCGUGCCUCAGCAUAGCAAGGCGGCCAAGCCACACUGACUACCUGCCUCUGUUCCAGCUGGGGGUCUGCUCCUGUCUCCAUGGCGACCUGGAGCCUGUUCUGUUCAGUGGGGCUUGACAUUCAGAGUGUAGCUGGAGAAGGAUGCAGAGGAGCCACACAAACAGAUGCACUCCUCUCAGCAGGAUGCUCUGCUCCUCCCUGGUACAGUCUGAAAGCCUGUCAGGCGCCGCAGACGAAGAUUAGAGCACCCUUGGUUUGUUUUUGGCUGUUUUCUCGUCUCGUCUCCUUGGCUACCCAUUUGAGAUAACCUGUCUCCUUGGCUACCGGACCGGUGGUUACUUAUUUCAUCCUCCUUUAAGUACGUGCUCCUGUCUAUGUGUGACUGGCUGCUUGUGUCUCUAUCCCGCAGCUGGACAUGAAUUAAUCAUGAGGACACAAGGCUUCUCUGUUCCUAUAACAAAGCUGUGACAUCACCACAUCACACACACUCACUCAAAAACACACGUACAGACUUGUAGAUGCACAGGCGUAAGUGUACACAAGCUGAAACCCACCCACACAUCAUGCACUAGGGCUUUUUAGGGUCUGGAUCCUGCAAAUAGUCUUUAUCAAUAAAUAAAGUGUUAAGGUUUUUUACUGUGGCAGCAGU